Molecule: ribosomal RNA, 782 nt
Filed under: uncultured cyanobacterium
Lineage: Bacteria; Bacillati; Cyanobacteriota
Description: bacterial SSU rRNA
Rfam family: Bacterial small subunit ribosomal RNA
Source: RNAcentral
UGUCAAAGACCGAAGCUUAACUUCGGGCAGGCGGUGGAAACUGAAGCACUAGAGUACGGUAGGGGUAGAGGGAAUUUCCAGUGUAGCGGUGAAAUGCGUAGAGAUUGGAAAGAACACCAGUGGCGAAGGCGCUCUACUGGACCGUAACUGACACUCAGGGACGAAAGCUAGGGUAGCGAAAGGGAUUAGAUACCCCUGUAGUCCUAGCUGUAAACGAUGGAUACUAGGCGUUGCUUGUAUCGACCCGAGCAGUGCCGUAGCCAACGCGUUAAGUAUCCCGCCUGGGGAGUACGCACGCAAGUGUGAAACUCAAAGGAAUUGACGGGGGCCCGCACAAGCGGUGGAGUAUGUGGUUUAAUUCGAUGCAACGCGAAGAACCUUACCAGGGCUUGACAUCCCGCGAAUCAGAGUGAAAGCUCUGAGUGCCUUCGGGAACGCGGAGACAGGUGGUGCAUGGCUGUCGUCAGCUCGUGUCGUGAGAUGUUGGGUUAAGUCCCGCAACGAGCGCAACCCUCGUCCUUAGUUGCCAGCAUUAAGUUGGGCACUUUAGGGAGACUGCCGGUGACAAACCGGAGGAAGGUGGGGAUGACGUCAAGUCAGCAUGCCCCUUACGCUCUGGGCUACACACGUACUACAAUGGUUGGGACAAAGGGCAGCAAGCUCGCGAGAGUAAGCGAAUCUCAGCAAACCCAGCCUCAGUUCAGAUUGCAGGCUGCAACUCGCCUGCAUGAAGGAGGAAUCGCUAGUAAUCGCAGGUCAGCAUACUGCGGUGAAUCCGUUCC